This 310-nucleotide unclassified non-coding RNA is filed under the name plant metagenome. RNAcentral's name for it is "partial contains 5.8S ribosomal RNA, internal transcribed spacer 2, and large subunit ribosomal RNA". The stretch from base 1 to 105 matches the Rfam family "5.8S ribosomal RNA", at positions 50 to 154 of the family's 154-position model. The record is from RNAcentral.
GAAAUGCGAUAAGUAGUGUGAAUUGCAGAAUUCAGUGAAUCAUCGAAUCUUUGAACGCACAUUGCGCCCCUCGGUAUUCCGUGGGGCAUGCCUGUUCGAGCGUCAUCUACACCCUCAAGCUCUGCUUGGUGCUGGGCGUCUGUCCCGCCUCCUUCGCGCGCGGACUCGCCCCAAAUCCAUUGGCGGCGGCCCUUGCCUCCCUCUCGCGCAGCACAUUGCGCUUCUCGAGGCGCGGCGGACCGCGUCCAGCAAGCAACCGUCACACCGUCUUUGACCUCGGAUCAGGUAGGGAUACCCGCUGAACUUAAGC